CCUUUCUGCCUUCUGUGUUUGCUGUUUCCUAAAGUGCCGAGUGAGAGUUGCGGUCUGGACUCCAAGACCUACAUGAACAUGGGCUGCCCCAGGACUACCUACUACUAUGCUUGAUCCCAUAGAAGAAA
Molecule: long non-coding RNA, 128 nt
Filed under: Chinchilla lanigera (long-tailed chinchilla)
Lineage: Eukaryota; Metazoa; Chordata; Mammalia; Rodentia; Chinchillidae
Description: lncRNA (ENSCLAG00000024537.1)
Source: RNAcentral